CAUUUAAUUUCAUUUCUUGUGUGUGAAAUUACAAAUACGAUGAGCAACUUCCUUUAUUAUGAUAAGCGAAGCUGAUUUUUUUCUUUUGAGUCAGAUGCAAGGCAACCAGAUCAAAACUACAGUAUGAUACUCCUGUAUAUUUAUGUUUUGGCUACUUUCUUGGCUGUUGGAUAUUCAGCAGUCACCAUAAAACAGUCUUCUAUAUCUAUCACAAGAAAAGGUGAAGAAAAAAAAUCGGCACUUAUCCUAUGCCAAAUAGAAGGCAGCUUUACCUACAUUCAUUGGUAUAAACAGAAAAAUAACAGAGAACUGAAAAGAAUUCUCUAUUCAACGGAUGGAAGAGCUUCUUAUGAAGAAGACAAAUACAAGGACAAGUUUGACAUUAGUUCACGUACAGAUUUAAGAAUUACUAAUAUAGAGAGAGAUGAUGAGGCCACAUAUUAUUGUGCCUGUUGGGAUACAGCACAACGAGGGAAGUUCAUCACAACUCAGCACAAAAACAGGAUGAUCCUUUGCAGAGAACAUUAUUGUAUAUCAUGUAUAGCCACUUAUUAUUAUUGGGAUUAUGGGGAGUGAAGAUAAAAAUAGAAGUCAUUAUUACACUUUAGGAGAGCACCCAUUAUGCAAAUUUGUCAAUAUGCAAACAUUUUUGUUCAUCUCAAUUGCAGUUGCUAUCAUAAAUGAGCUUUCAGAUACAGUUAUGGGACCUGUUAUCCAGAAUGCUCAGGACCUGGGACU
This is a non-coding RNA of Xenopus laevis (African clawed frog), 738 nucleotides long. Lineage: Eukaryota; Metazoa; Chordata; Amphibia; Anura; Pipidae. The record is from the annotation of a RefSeq genome assembly.